GGGCCCGUAGCUCACUUGGUAGAGCGCCUCGUUUGCAACGAGGAGGCAAGCGGUUCGAUCCCGCUCGGGUCCACCA
This 76-nucleotide transfer RNA is filed under the name bacterium. RNAcentral describes it as "tRNA-Ala". It matches the Rfam family "tRNA". Rfam says of the family: Transfer RNA (tRNA) molecules are approximately 80 nucleotides in length. The record is from RNAcentral.